UCGGGUUCCGCGGAGGAAGGGGCGAGGUGUGGGGUGCCGUUAAGAUCCAGGCCGCAUUUCGUGGUUAUCUGGCAAGGAGAGCACUGAGGGCCCUCAGAGGUCUGGUGAAGCUCCAAGCUCUGGUGAGAGGCAACAUUGUGAGGAAACAGGCGGCUGAGACGCUGCGGUGUAUGCACGCCCUGGUGCGUGUCCAGGCUCGUGCUCGUGCCUGCCGCGCCAUCCGCUCGGAGAGAGUCAACCACAACAAACCCUCUCGCUCGCAUCCCGGUCCUCCAACACCCGAGACACACGAACCACCGAGGUCGAUUUCAUUCAAGAGGAGCUCAUCAAAGGGAACCAGUGCCGAUUCCGAGAGAGCUCAGUCCUCUGGUUGGAACUGGCUUGACAGAUGGAUGGAGGAGCGGUACUGGGACAGCCGAGAAUCUGCAACGAAG
Molecule: unclassified non-coding RNA, 434 nt
Filed under: Hevea brasiliensis (rubber tree)
Lineage: Eukaryota; Viridiplantae; Streptophyta; Magnoliopsida; Malpighiales; Euphorbiaceae
Source: RNAcentral